RNAcentral lists this transfer RNA (93 nucleotides) under Candidatus Omnitrophota bacterium. RNAcentral's name for it is "tRNA-Ser". It matches the Rfam family "tRNA". Rfam says of the family: Transfer RNA (tRNA) molecules are approximately 80 nucleotides in length. Their secondary structure includes four short double-helical elements and three loops (D, anti-codon, and T loops). Lineage: Bacteria; Pseudomonadati; Candidatus Omnitrophota. The record is from RNAcentral.
GGAGAGGUGCGAGAGUGGACGAAUCGGCACGACUGGAAAUCGUGUAGCUACCCAAAAGGUGGCUCCAGGGUUCGAAUCCCUGCCUCUCCGCCA